CAGCCGCCGCGGUAAAACCAGCACCUCAAGUGGUCAGGAUGAUUAUUGGGCCUAAAGCAUCCGUAGCCUGCUUUGUAAGUUUUCGGUUAAAUCCAUACGCUUAACGUAUGGGCUGCCGGGAAUACUGCACAGCUAGGGAGUGGGAGAGGUAGACGGUACUCGGUAGGAAGGGGUAAAAUCCUUUGAUCUAUUGAUGACCACCUGUGGCGAAGGCGGUCUACCAGAACACGUCCGACGGUGAGGGAUGAGAGCUGGGGGAGCAAACCGGAUUAGAUACCCGGGUAGUCCCAGCUGUAAACUAUGCAAACUCGGUGAUGCAUUGGCUUGAUGCCAAUGCAGUGCCGCAGGGAAGCCGUUAAGUUUGCCGCCUGGGAAGUACGUACGCAUGUAUGAAACUUAAAGGAAUUGGCGGGGGAGCAC
Molecule: ribosomal RNA, 420 nt
Filed under: uncultured Nitrososphaerota archaeon
Lineage: Archaea; Thermoproteati; Nitrososphaerota
Description: bacterial SSU rRNA
Rfam family: Archaeal small subunit ribosomal RNA
Source: RNAcentral